CUUAUCCACACAAGAGGGGAUGGCGUGGGAAAUGCUAACACCUUCUAAGACAUGCUGAAGAUGAUGAAUUCCCAAGAUAACCGGCUGAGGUGUCUUUGCUAAGCUGACAUAUUUGAUAUUAUUCACAGAUAACUCACAUGGUCAGAGAGAUUCUCAUUAUGCAAUCCAUCCUUGAGCAAGAGGCAUUGAAGAUUUUUCUCAGCCACUCAGUGUUUAGAUGAAGGACUGCAGGAACAGAAAGAUUAACAACCUACCUAAAAGGCGGAGCCAAGAUACAUACCAGGCAGACGGGCCUGGUAAACUAGACAAUGGCCACCACCACAGUCAAGAUAGAAAGCAUUUCCAUCACACCAGAACGUGUCUUCCAGCCUCUCUGCAGCCCAUCCCCCAUCCUGCAUGGCUCCAUGACCACUGAUGUUCUCUUAUCACUAUAGAUUUGUUUUUCUGUCCUAGAAUUUCAUCUAAAUACAGUCAUAAGGAUGGAGUUGUGGAACCAAAGGGAUACUGCAAAAUAACCAUGUGUGACUUGUGACGUUAGAUCAUAAAAAACAACGUGGCUUCUGCCUUGCUCUCUCUUGGGUGAUUCCCUUUUGGUGGAAGGUCACUAUGUCACCAGGAUAUUCAAACAGCUCAGAAGAAGAACAUGUGAAGCUUUUUGCCAACUAAUAGCAGAAGGCAACUCAAAAUCUAAGAUGGUUCUGGUUAUGUUUAGAAGAAAUGAAAUACUACUUAAAACAGAAAACAGUCACGGAUGGGAAACAGGCAUACAGAAGUUGGCACAGCUACGUGGCAAGAUCUGAACUCAGAGGUGGCCCUAAUUACCAGACAUUUAUUAUAGAAUAAAACAGAAAAGUAUCUUCACUUCUGCCUUGGGUCAGGUUUUCCAGAAGCAGACCCUGAGACAAGGAUUCAUGUGUAAGUAAUUUAUUUAUUAUUUUCUCCCAGGGGAAAUCAGGAAGGA
Molecule: long non-coding RNA, 961 nt
Organism: Rhinolophus ferrumequinum (greater horseshoe bat)
Lineage: Eukaryota; Metazoa; Chordata; Mammalia; Chiroptera; Rhinolophidae
Exons: 5
Source: RefSeq, a predicted model, not a curated record